RNAcentral lists this non-coding RNA (49 nucleotides) under unclassified sequences. RNAcentral describes it as "eL15-Euryarchaeota ribosomal protein leader". It matches the Rfam family "eL15-Euryarchaeota ribosomal protein leader". The record is from RNAcentral.
CGGGAUAGUAUCCCGAAAGGAAUGUAGCUUAUCCAAGCUGAACCUUGAG